Molecule: ribosomal RNA, 491 nt
Filed under: uncultured bacterium
Lineage: Bacteria
Description: partial 16S ribosomal RNA
Rfam family: Bacterial small subunit ribosomal RNA
Source: RNAcentral
AGUGAACGCUGGCGGUAGGCCUAACACAUGCAAGUCGAACGGCAGCACAGUAAGAGCUUGCUCUUACGGGUGGCGAGUGGCGGACGGGUGAGGAAUACAUCGGAAUCUACUUUUUCGUGGGGGAUAACGUAGGGAAACUUACGCUAAUACCGCAUACGACCUACGGGUGAAAGCAGGGGAUCUUCGGACCUUGCGCGAUUGAAUGAGCCGAUGUCGGAUUAGCUAGUUGGCGGGGUAAAGGCCCACCAAGGCGACGAUCCGUAGCUGGUCUGAGAGGAUGAUCAGCCACACUGGAACUGAGACACGGUCCAGACUCCUACGGGCGGCAGCGGUGGGGAAUAUUGGACAAUGGGCGCAAGCCUGAUCCAGCCAUACCGCGUGGGUGAAGAAGGCCUUCGGGUUGUAAAGCCCUUUUGUUGGGAAAGAAAAGCAGCAGGUUAAUACCCCGCUGUUCUGACGGUACCCAAAGAAUAAGCACCGGCUAACUUCGU